CAAAAUCUGUGGGAAGUAGUCGUCUUAGCCAUGAACUUUUGAAAGUCAUGUUGUUAACUGAUGUACAACAUGACUGUUGGUUUACUCAGACUCCUGUCUGCUUUCUCUUGCAGAUGUGGUUGUCGUAUCAUUGUUUACACGGACCAUCUGAUUCAAACGACUUGUGUUUAUCUUCAACAGUUAGUUGUUACAGAAAUUGUGAUAAUACCUAUAGAAGGAACUGACCUCAUGUCAAACUGAUAAAUGGCCGGGGGAAAAAAUAAUAGAAAAAAUGCGUGAAGCUUGGAAGAAAGAAGAGACAAGAAACAAAAUGAAUGAAGCACAAAUCAUCAGCAUUUGGGCAAGUCUGCAGGAGGAGGAAGAAGUUUCUGAUCAGGCUUAUCUCCAUCAAGCACAAGCCAAGCCAUCCUCAGACCCCAACUGGAAUCUAAUAGCAGCCCAUCCACCAGAUGGAACACCGACCGUGUUCCUCUCUAUUGGGUCAACAAGGUUGAAGUUCUUAGGAUCCUCCUUCGCGUCGAAGUUCCCAAACCCUUGGCCAACGACAAAGAAGUUGAACCCAUGAAGGUGAAGAGGAUGGCUCUCCGCACCGAGAAUGCUAGUAUCUUGCAUCACAAGCUCGACACUUGUGUUAUAAGGCAGAACCAUCACGUUUGUCCCAGUGCUAACCAUGGUGUUGUUAGGUGGGGUGCCUGUGUAGUUAAAAGGCACUAUGGGACUCCACGGGAAGUUCGGAGAAUACACUCCGUUAGAUUGCCCAGAAUAGUGAGACUGAAGGAGAGCUUUCGUUGGCAUUGUGAAGGAGAUGUUGCUGAUCGAAGCAGCAAACAUUGUGGUGUUAGUAGGACCCUGGCACGUCUGGUUGUUCUUAUGGUUGCAAGGGUUUGUUCCUAAUCCCAC
This is a long non-coding RNA of Brassica napus (rape), 900 nucleotides long. RefSeq lists it as uncharacterized. Lineage: Eukaryota; Viridiplantae; Streptophyta; Magnoliopsida; Brassicales; Brassicaceae. The record is from RefSeq and is a predicted model, not a curated record. The transcript is spliced from 3 exons.